ACCUUAACUCAUAUUAUUUUCUACAAACUUUAUAUUACCUAAUAUGCUAAGUUACAGAAAACCUCCUAUAAAUAUCUAAUUUUCAAUUUUCAUCCCUAAUUUUAAUAAAAAUCUGUAGUGUUAAUAGAGAGGGCAAAAAGAUUAAAUUGUCUUUACUUCUUCUAUAAAAAAAUAAUUUUUAAUAUAUUUUUAUUAUUUUGAAAGGUAUUUUCAGUAUAAAUUAUAAAAAAAUAGAUAGAAUAGUGAUGACAUUUUAACGAAGGGGGACUAAAUAUAAUAAUUAGAAAUAUUGAGAAGGUAAAAUAUAGAUUUUUAAAAAUUAGAAAGUAAAGUAAAAAAUAAAUAUUUAUAAAGAAU
RNAcentral lists this long non-coding RNA (357 nucleotides) under Ananas comosus (pineapple). Its description in RNAcentral is "long non-coding RNA (ACOM_LNC029632)". Lineage: Eukaryota; Viridiplantae; Streptophyta; Magnoliopsida; Poales; Bromeliaceae. The record is from RNAcentral.